UACGAAGGGGGCUAGCGUUGUUCGGAAUUACUGGGCGUAAAGGGCGCGUAGGCGGCUUCGCUAGUCGGGCGUGAAAUGCCUGGGCUUAACCCGGGAAUUGCGUUCGAUACUUCGAGGCUAGAGUGUGGGAGAGGUUGGUGGAAUUCCCAGUGUAGAGGUGAAAUUCGUAGAUAUUGGGAAGAACACCAGUGGCGAAGGCGGCUAUCUGGACCGUAACUGACGCUGAGGCGCGAAAGCGUGGGGAGCAAACAGG
RNAcentral lists this ribosomal RNA (253 nucleotides) under uncultured bacterium. RNAcentral's name for it is "partial 16S ribosomal RNA". It matches the Rfam family "Bacterial small subunit ribosomal RNA", at positions 524 to 776 of the family's 1533-position model. The record is from RNAcentral.